This 548-nucleotide ribosomal RNA is filed under the name Chlorobium sp. Its description in RNAcentral is "bacterial SSU rRNA". It matches the Rfam family "Bacterial small subunit ribosomal RNA", at positions 1 to 569 of the family's 1533-position model. The record is from RNAcentral. Lineage: Bacteria; Pseudomonadati; Chlorobiota; Chlorobiia; Chlorobiales; Chlorobiaceae.
CAACGGAGAGUUUGAUCCUGGCUCAGGACGAACGCUGUCGGCGUGCCUAACACAUGCAAGUCAAAGGGAAGCAGCUUCGGCUGUGAGUACUUGGCGCAAGGGUGAGUAAUGUAUAGGUAAUCUGCCCUUAGGACUGGCAUAACCUCGAGAAAUCGAGGACAAUACCAGAUGAUGCAGCGGGACCGCAUGGUCAUGUUGUUAAAGAUUUAUCGCCUAAGGAUGAACCUAUAUCCCAUCAGGUAGUUGGCAGGAUAAUAGCCUACCAAGCCUACGACGGGUAGCUGGUCUGAGAGGAUGAUCAGCCACAUUGGGACUGAGACACGGCCCAGACUCCUACGGGAGGCAGCAGCAGGGAAUUUUGCGCAAUGGGCGAAAGUCUGACGCAGCAACGCCGCGUGGAUGAUGAAGGCCUUAGGGUCGUAAAAUCCUUUUCUUGGGGAAGAAGCUCUGACGGUACCCAAGGAAUAAGCCUCGGCUAAUCACGUGCCAGCAGCCGCGGUGAUACGUGAGAGGCAAGCGUUAUCCGGAAUUAUUGGGCGUAAAGGGCG